Molecule: ribosomal RNA, 375 nt
Filed under: Salmonella enterica
Lineage: Bacteria; Pseudomonadati; Pseudomonadota; Gammaproteobacteria; Enterobacterales; Enterobacteriaceae
Description: partial 23S ribosomal RNA
Source: RNAcentral
CGAUGUGGGAAGGCCCAGACAGCCAGGAUGUUGGCUUAGAAGCAGCCAUCAUUUAAAGAAAGCGUAAUAGCUCACUGGUCGAGUCGGCCUGCGCGGAAGAUGUAACGGGGCUAAACCAUGCACCGAAGCUGCGGCAGCGAACGUAUCACCCAAGACAACUUUACGGAGUUGACGAUUGACGGAGCGAAGCGACGUCAAAGCRUUCAUUAAAGUCGAGUUGGCUUAGGGAUACGUUCGUUGGGUAGGGGAGCGUUCUGUAAGCCUGUGAAGGUGGCCUGUGAGGGUUGCUGGAGGUAUCAGAAGUGCGAAUGCUGACAUAAGUAACGAUAAAGCGGGUGAAAAGCCCGCUCGCCGGAAGACCAAGGGUUCCUGUCC